Molecule: long non-coding RNA, 693 nt
Organism: Daucus carota subsp. sativus
Lineage: Eukaryota; Viridiplantae; Streptophyta; Magnoliopsida; Apiales; Apiaceae
Exons: 4
Source: RefSeq, a predicted model, not a curated record
UUCAAUAAUUAAUGUUCACUUUUACUUUUAUAAUCUAUACUAAAUUGACAAUAAACAUGCAAUUACAGGGAAAUUAUCUUUAGAUGCAAAGGGGUGAAAAGCAUUAGGGAGCAUAUUCAAACGUUGAGACCAAAAACAAGUCUGUACUAUUCAGUCAUUGAUGUAUGGGCUGCAAUUUUAAAUGAAACUGAGAAGUACAAGUCUGAUGACUCUCCACUCCGCUUCUUUUGUACUGUUGGAGAUUUGACUUUCAGCCUUGAUCCAACAAAAAGAUUUCCAGAGACAUUACCUCUAUUCUCCAAAGGGAUGGAUAAAAUACUCAGCACAUUCUCUAUGGAAAGAUUAGAAGAUAUUACCAUGAUAUUCUUUCCCAUUAAUAAGAAUGGACACUAUUAUUUGAUCUGUUACAAUCUGAAGACCCCGGAAUGCUUCUUAAUUGACAAUGUUCGCCGUGAUGACAAACCAAGACCAUAUUAUACAAGGGUUCCGGAUGUUUUGCAUUCACACUUAUGCAACUAUUUAAGUGAUAAAGGAUAUGCACAUGUGACAAAGAGAAUACGUAGACUGAAGCCAGAUUACUUGAAGAUGUCGUGGCAAACAGUUUAUAAUUCUACUGACUGUGGAAUAUUCCUGAUGCGACAUAUGGAAACCUUCAAAGGGGAUGUCAAAAAUUGGGAAAUUGAUUUUGUGGAA